Molecule: long non-coding RNA, 246 nt
Organism: Talpa occidentalis (Iberian mole)
Lineage: Eukaryota; Metazoa; Chordata; Mammalia; Eulipotyphla; Talpidae
Exons: 4
Source: RefSeq, a predicted model, not a curated record
GGGGCCUCCGGGGGAGCGCACCUGGGCAGACCCCUUUGACUUAAGCCGAAGAAGUGGAGAUACCUGAGUGUUUGCAACAGGAGCGGAAACCAAGAAGCAUUGGACCAGGCAUGCGGGAGUGGAAUUGACAGUCAUUUCCUUGUGCUACACACCAGCUCCAUGUCAGCACUUAGCUCUAUUACUGGUGAUGACCAGGAAGAGACAUCAGUGAUUUAAAGAUUCGUGCAGUGCUUCCUUACUUACCUA